Molecule: long non-coding RNA, 446 nt
Organism: Gopherus flavomarginatus (Mexican gopher tortoise)
Lineage: Eukaryota; Metazoa; Chordata; Testudines; Testudinidae
Exons: 3
Source: RefSeq, a predicted model, not a curated record
GGUUGGGGAUACACUUAAUGAGGUAGCAGGUAUCCCUAUAGGUGGAGAUAUACUCAAUGGGGGAUCAGGUCUCCCCAUAGGUGGAGAUCCACUCAGUAGGAGAGCAGGCGUCCCUAUAGGAGGAGAUAUACUUGAUGGAAAAGUAAGUGUCUCUAUAGGUGGAGACACACUCAGUGAGGUAGCAGGUGUCCCUAUAGGUGGAGAUAUACUCAAUGGGGGAUCAGGUCUCCCCAUAGGUGGAGAUCCACUCAGUGGGGGAGCAGGCAUCCCUAUCAUUGGAGAUCCUCUCAGAGGGUUAGAGAGUCUCCCUAUAGGAGGAGAUAUACUCGAUGGAGGAGUAGGUGUUCCUAUAGUUGGAGAUGUACUCAGAAAGGUAAGUGUCCCUUUAGGUGAAAGUCUGAUGAAUGUGGAAGUAGGUGUCCCCUUAGGUGGAGAUCCUCUCGGUG